Molecule: ribosomal RNA, 493 nt
Filed under: Klebsiella sp. RFR-4
Lineage: Bacteria; Pseudomonadati; Pseudomonadota; Gammaproteobacteria; Enterobacterales; Enterobacteriaceae
Description: bacterial SSU rRNA
Rfam family: Bacterial small subunit ribosomal RNA
Source: RNAcentral
GGAAUUACUGGGCGUAAAGCGCACGCAGGCGGUCUGUCAAGUCGGAUGUGAAAUCCCCGGGCUCAACCUGGGAACUGCAUUCGAAACUGGCAGGCUAGAGUCUUGUAGAGGGGGGUAGAAUUCCAGGUGUAGCGGUGAAAUGCGUAGAGAUCUGGAGGAAUACCGGUGGCGAAGGCGGACGAUGUCGAUUUGGAGGUUGUGCCCUUGAGGCGUGGCUUCCGGAGCUAACGCGUUAAAUCGACCGCCUGGGGAGUACGGCCGCAAGGUUAAAACUCAAAUGAAUUGACGGGGGCCCGCACAAGCGGUGGAGCAUGUGGUUUAAUUCGAUGCAACGCGAAGAACCUUACCUGGUCUUGACAUCCACAGAACUUUCCAGAGAUGGAUUGGUGCCUUCGGGAACUGUGAGACAGGUGCUGCAUGGCUGUCGUCAGCUCGUGUUGUGAAAUGUUGGGUUAAGUCCCGCAACGAGCGCAACCCUUAUCCUUUGUUGCCA